Molecule: ribosomal RNA, 397 nt
Filed under: uncultured bacterium
Lineage: Bacteria
Description: bacterial SSU rRNA
Rfam family: Bacterial small subunit ribosomal RNA
Source: RNAcentral
GCCCCGGCUAACUACGUGCCAGCAGCCGCGGUAAUACGUAGGGGGCGAGCGUUAUCCGGAAUUAUUGGGCGUAAAGAGUGCGUAGGUGGCUGUGCAAGCGCAUGGUUUAAGAUAACGGCUUAACCGUUGUAUGCCGAGCGAACUGGACAGCUUGAGUACAGGAGAGGAAAGCGGAAUUCCUAGUGUAGCGGUGAAAUGCGUAGAUAUUAGGAAGAAUACCAGAGGCGAAAGCGACUUUCUAGCGAUGAUCUGACGCUGAGGUACGAAAGCGUGGGAAGCAAACAGGAUUAGAUACCCUGGUAGUCCACGCCGUAAACGAUGAGUGUUAGAUGUCCGAGGUAAACUUGGGUGUCGGAAGCCAACGCGAUAAACACUCCGCCUGGGGAGUACGCACGCA